This 461-nucleotide long non-coding RNA is filed under the name Nicotiana benthamiana. Its description in RNAcentral is "long non-coding RNA (NBEN_LNC005184)". The record is from RNAcentral. Lineage: Eukaryota; Viridiplantae; Streptophyta; Magnoliopsida; Solanales; Solanaceae.
GAUAAAUCAGAUCCUGGCCUUAAAGCAGCAGUGAUAGCUAGAAGUGCAGGAGUUGGUGAAAACUACAAGAAACUCUGCACUUGUGACGGUACAACUAUUUGGGAAGCAACCAACAAACUUUGAACACCUACACUAUCGUAGACCUAAACUACAAGAAACUAUGCACUUGUGAUGGUACAAUUAUUUGGGAAGCAACCAAUAAACUUUGAACACUUACACUAUCAUGUACUCUAUAUUUUCUUUGUAUACAUCAUCUCCUUCAUUUCCUAGAUCAUGAAGCUUUCAAGGUGGACGGACCAAUUUAAUGUAUCAAAAUAAAUGUCAUCCUCACUUAUUUCUUGGUUUCCUAUUUAAAGAGCUGCUCAUCUUCAUAUCCCAAUAAGGAUUGCCGAUGAAUUAAAUUUUAACAAAGCAUCUAGCUAUCAGUAGUUCAAAAUUUUGGGAUGGCAGAGUCAUUUUCC